UACGGAGGGUGCAAGCGUUAUCCGGAUUUACUGGGUUUAAAGGGUGCGUAGGUGGGCCUGUAAGUCAGUGGUGAAAUCUUCAAGCUUAACUUGGAAACUGCCAUUGAUACUAUAGGUCUUGAAUUAUCUGGAGGUAAGCGGAAUAUGUCAUGUAGCGGUGAAAUGCUUAGAGAUGACAUAGAACACCCAUUGCGAAGGCAGCUUACUACGGAUUGAUUGACACUGAGGCACGAAAGCGUGGGGAUCAAACAGG
This 253-nucleotide ribosomal RNA is filed under the name uncultured bacterium. Its description in RNAcentral is "partial 16S ribosomal RNA". It matches the Rfam family "Bacterial small subunit ribosomal RNA", at positions 524 to 776 of the family's 1533-position model. RNAcentral also lists the same sequence under 1 other name. The record is from RNAcentral.